Long non-coding RNA from Micropterus salmoides (largemouth bass), 548 nucleotides. RefSeq lists it as uncharacterized. Lineage: Eukaryota; Metazoa; Chordata; Actinopteri; Centrarchiformes; Centrarchidae. The record is from RefSeq and is a predicted model, not a curated record. The transcript has 2 exons.
UGUAGUACGAAGCAGGAUUUGAGGAGAGAGAGCUGACUUCUGGAUUAACCCUGGGUUUUCAGUUGUACGGCAGUGGUUGAUGUUUUACUGGGAUACAUCGCCAUGGCCACUCUGAUCAUUCCUUCCAGCUUUCGUCCCCUGCCCCCCUCCGUCCCUCGCUGGUUCCUGACCUCCAUCCUCCCUGUGAUCAUCCCUCCAGAGUUGAGGCCAUCUGUUCCUGCAGGAGAACCGAGUGCAUCCUAGCCCCCGACGUCAGCCAGGAUGUGUGUAUUUAUGCAUGUGUGCCAAUUUAUCUGUCUGCAUGUGUGUGUGUGCGUGUAUGUGUUAAAGUGUGAGUAUGUAUUCGUCUCCCAGACUGUAAAAAAUUGAGAGUGUUGCAUAUUCAUGACACCAAAGGUGUAGUACCAUUUCUACCUUUUAUGGAAUUAUCUUCCAGGCCCCAUCAGUGAUGGAUUGCUGCAUAAACAAAAACACUUUGAUAUCUACUGCAUGAUGGAUGCAUAUGGAUUAUAUGUAGAUGAUUAUAGCUAAUAAAGCUGAUACCUGUG